RNAcentral lists this ribosomal RNA (484 nucleotides) under uncultured bacterium. Its description in RNAcentral is "partial 16S ribosomal RNA". It matches the Rfam family "Bacterial small subunit ribosomal RNA", at positions 30 to 507 of the family's 1533-position model. The record is from RNAcentral.
AUUGAACGCUGGCGGCAGGCCUAACACAUGCAAGUCGAGCGGAUGAAGGGAGCUUGCUCCUGGAUUCAGCGGCGGACGGGUGAGUAAUGCCUAGGAAUCUGCCUGGUAUUGGGGGAUAACGUCCGUAAACGGGCGCUAAUACCGCAUACGUCCUUAUGGAGAAAGUGGGGGAUCUUCGGACCUCACGCUAUCAGAUGAGCCUAGGUCGUAUUAGCUAGUUGGUGGGGUAAAGGCCUACCAAGGCGACGAUCCGUAACUGGUCUGAGAGGAUGAUCAGUCACACUGGAACUGAGACACGGUCCAGACUCCUACGGGAGGCAGCAGUGGGGAAUAUUGGACAAUGGGCGAAAGCCUGACCCAGCCAUGCCGCGUGUGUGAAGAAGGUCUUCGGAUUGUAAAGCACUUUAAGUUGGGAGGAAGGGCAGUAAGUUAAUACCUUGCUGUUUUGACGUUACCAACAGAAUAAGCACCGGCUAACUUCGUG